ACGGAGGGUGCAAGCGUUGUCCGGAUUUAUUGGGUGUAAAGGGUGUGUAGGCGGAACGAUAAGUCAGGGGUGAAAUCCCGCAGCUCAACUGCGGAACUGCCUUUGAUACUGUCGAUCUUGAGUCCCGGAUGGGUGACUGGAAUUCGUGGUGUAGCGGUGAAAUGCGUAGAUAUCACGAGGAACACCAAAGGCGUAGGCAGGUCACUGGACGGGUACUGACGCUGAGGCACGAAAGUGUGGGGAGCAAACAG
Molecule: ribosomal RNA, 251 nt
Filed under: uncultured prokaryote
Description: partial 16S ribosomal RNA
Rfam family: Bacterial small subunit ribosomal RNA
Source: RNAcentral